CACGUAGGCGGAUCGAUCAGUCAGGGGUGAAAUCCCAGGGCUCAACCCUGGAACUGCCUUUGAUACUGUCGAUCUGGAGUAUGGAAGAGGGGGGUAGAAUUCCAGGUGUAGCGGUGAAAUGCGUAGAGAUCUGGAGGAAUACCGAUUGCGAAGGCAGCCCCCUGGACAGUGACUGACGCUCAUAUGCGAAAGCGUGGGGAUCAAACAGGAUUAGAUACCCCAGUA
RNAcentral lists this ribosomal RNA (225 nucleotides) under uncultured Thorsellia sp. Its description in RNAcentral is "partial 16S ribosomal RNA". It matches the Rfam family "Bacterial small subunit ribosomal RNA", at positions 568 to 792 of the family's 1533-position model. Lineage: Bacteria; Pseudomonadati; Pseudomonadota; Gammaproteobacteria; Enterobacterales; Thorselliaceae. The record is from RNAcentral.